GAUUAGGCCAAAAAAAAAUAUAUGUCUGUUUCCUGCUGCCAAGGCAAAAAAAUCAGGGUCGGUAGGUCUGUAUUUUUUUUUAUUUUUUUUUUUUUUUAUUUUUUUUUUUUGCACUCCCUGUCAGAUUUGCAGAUGGUUAAAUGUCAUGUUUGGUUAGGGUCCUGUUCCCUAAAAUCAUUUAAUCUCUUUAAAGAAGCUUUAAUUGAAUAAUCCUCCCAGUGCCGACAUUUUUUAAACCUUAAUUGUAUCACAUUUGUGCUGGGAGCAGCCAUUUUGAUUGUUUGAGUAUAGUAAAAUACAGAUCUGGAUCGGACCGGAAAAAUUCUUUUCCGGACCGGAAACGAUUUUUUUUCCAGAAUUGAAUAAAAAGAUCUAGGGUCGGGGGCUUUGAGUCAGGGUCGGUCGGGAAACAGGAAACAGACAUAUAUUUUUUUU
Molecule: long non-coding RNA, 435 nt
Filed under: Mytilus galloprovincialis (Mediterranean mussel)
Lineage: Eukaryota; Metazoa; Mollusca; Bivalvia; Mytilida; Mytilidae
Source: RNAcentral